CACUGGAAACGGUGGCUAAUACCCCGGAUGUCAUUGCAUUUAGAAAGCAAUGUCUGAAGCUCCGGCGCUUCGAGAGGGGCCUGCGGCCCAUCAGCUAGUUGGCAGGGUAACGGCCUACCAAGGCGAAGACGGGUAGGGGGCCUGAGAGGGUGACCCCCCACACGGGCACUGAGACACGGGCCCGACUCCUACGGGAGGCAGCAGUAAGGAAUAUUGCCCAAUGGGCGCAAGCCUGAGGCAGCAACGCCGCGUGCCCGACGAAGGCCUUCGGGUUGUAAAGGGCUUUUCUGGCUGAAGAGCGAGGACAGUAGGCCAGGAAGAAGAGUCGGCUAACUACGUGCCAGCAGCCGCGGUAAAACGUAGGACUCAAGCGUUAUCCGGAUUUACUGGGCGUAAAGGGCGGGCAGGCGGGCCGGCAAGUCUGACGUGAAAGCUCCUGGCUUAACCGGGAGAGGCCGUUGGAAACUGCCGGGCUGGAGGGCAGUAGAGGGGCGUGGAAUUCCGGGUGGAGUGGUGAAAUGCGUAGAGAUCCGGAGGAACACC
This 543-nucleotide ribosomal RNA is filed under the name uncultured bacterium. RNAcentral describes it as "bacterial SSU rRNA". It matches the Rfam family "Bacterial small subunit ribosomal RNA", at positions 148 to 710 of the family's 1533-position model. The record is from RNAcentral.